Molecule: ribosomal RNA, 252 nt
Filed under: uncultured bacterium
Lineage: Bacteria
Description: partial 16S ribosomal RNA
Rfam family: Bacterial small subunit ribosomal RNA
Source: RNAcentral
UACGUAGGUGGCAAGCGUUGUCCGGAAUUAUUGGGCGUAAAGAGCGCGUAGGCGGUAUGAUAAGUCUGUCUUAGAAGUGCGGGGCUUAACCCCGUGAGGGGACAGAGACUGUCAUACUAGAGUCUCGGAGAGGAAAGCGGAAUUCCUAGUGUAGCGGUGAAAUGCGUAGAGAUUAGGAAGAACACCGGUGGCGAAGGCGGCUUUCUGGACGAGCACUGACGCUGAGGCGCGAAAGCGUGGGGAGCGAACAGG